RNAcentral lists this ribosomal RNA (474 nucleotides) under uncultured organism. Its description in RNAcentral is "partial 16S ribosomal RNA". It matches the Rfam family "Bacterial small subunit ribosomal RNA", at positions 335 to 800 of the family's 1533-position model. The record is from RNAcentral.
ACUCCUACGGGAGGCAGCAGUGGGGAAUUUUGGACAAUGGGCGAAAGCCUGAUCCAGCAAUGCCGCGUGAGUGAAGAAGGCCUUCGGGUUGUAAAGCUCUUUUGUCAGGGAAGAAACGGUGAAAGCUAAUAUCUUUUGCUAAUGACGGUACCUGAAGAAUAAGCACCGGCUAACUACGUGCCAGCAGCCGCGGUAAUACGUAGGGUGCAAGCGUUAAUCGGAAUUACUGGGCGUAAAGCGUGCGCAGGCGGUUUUGUAAGUCUGAUGUGAAAUCCCCGGGCUCAACCUGGGAAUUGCAUUGGAGACUGCAAGGCUAGAAUCUGGUAGAGGGGGGUAGAAUUCCACGUGUAGCAGUGAAAUGCGUAGAUAUGUGGAGGAACACCGAUGGCGAAGGCAGCCCCCUGGGUCAAGAUUGACGCUCAUGCACGAAAGCGUGGGGAGCAAACAGGAUUAGAAACCCGAGUAGUCCCAUGA